Molecule: ribosomal RNA, 253 nt
Filed under: uncultured bacterium
Lineage: Bacteria
Description: partial 16S ribosomal RNA
Rfam family: Bacterial small subunit ribosomal RNA
Source: RNAcentral
UACAGAGGAGCCAAGCGUUGUCCGGAUUGACUGGGCGUAAAGCGCACGCAGGCGGAUGCGCGCGUGGGGUGUGAAAUCUGGCCGCUUAACGGCCAGGCGCCAUCCCAUACGGCGCGUCUGGAGUGAUGCAGAGGUCGGGGGAAUUGCCGGUGUAGUGGUGAAAUGCGUAGAGAUCGGCAGGAACACCCAGGGGGAAACCAGCCGACUGGGCAUCUACUGACGCUGAGGUGCGAGAGCGUGGGGAGCGAACCGG